RNAcentral lists this non-coding RNA (21 nucleotides) under Arabidopsis thaliana (thale cress). Lineage: Eukaryota; Viridiplantae; Streptophyta; Magnoliopsida; Brassicales; Brassicaceae. The record is from RNAcentral.
ACGUGGCUGGCCAAAUGGCAC